Pipra filicauda (Wire-tailed manakin) is the source of this 358-nucleotide long non-coding RNA. RefSeq lists it as uncharacterized. Lineage: Eukaryota; Metazoa; Chordata; Aves; Passeriformes; Pipridae. The record is from RefSeq and is a predicted model, not a curated record. The transcript has 3 exons.
CAGUAAGAGCUGUGCCCACGUUCAGCUGUGUUCAUACGGUAUUCUUUGCAGAAAACGACAGCAACAGAGUUCAUGCAACUUAAAUAACUGUUUUUCCAAUGGACUGACUGCAGAAGGAUUGGCUGAGUUGUCUCUCUCUCGAUGAACCUUUCUCUUUGAUCUAAAACCAAGGAAAUGGGUGUGGAAGAAAUGGAAUCUCAAAAGCUUUAAGGCUGUCACAGUAAAUCAUACAGUAAAGAUGCUACUGCUAACACACAAGCUGCUGCAUCUGCCAGUUCUGCAGCAGCCAGUAAGUCUUGUAAAUAUUUUUAAACACAUAAUGCACGUGACUGUACAUUUUGGAAUAGGACUUAGAGUA